RNAcentral lists this ribosomal RNA (300 nucleotides) under Bacillus subtilis. RNAcentral's name for it is "partial 16S ribosomal RNA". It matches the Rfam family "Bacterial small subunit ribosomal RNA", at positions 1 to 289 of the family's 1533-position model. The record is from RNAcentral. Lineage: Bacteria; Bacillati; Bacillota; Bacilli; Caryophanales; Bacillaceae.
CUUUAUCGGAGAGUUUGAUCCUGGCUCAGGACGAACGCUGGCGGCGUGCCUAAUACAUGCAAGUCGAGCGGACAGAUGGGAGCUUGCUCCCUGAUGUUAGCGGCGGACGGGUGAGUAACACGUGGGUAACCUGCCUGUAAGACUGGGACAACUCCGGGAAACCGGGGCUAAUACCGGAUGGUUGUUUGAACCGCAUGGUUCAAACAUAAAAGGUGGCUUCGGCUACCACUUACAGAUGGACCCGCGGCGCAUUAGCUAGUUGGUGAGGUAACUGCUCACCAAGGCAACGAUGCGUAGCCG